RNAcentral lists this long non-coding RNA (247 nucleotides) under Carica papaya (papaya). RNAcentral's name for it is "long non-coding RNA (CPAP_LNC007338)". Lineage: Eukaryota; Viridiplantae; Streptophyta; Magnoliopsida; Brassicales; Caricaceae. The record is from RNAcentral.
CAUGAAGAGAGUCACAUGUUUGAGCUACCUGGCUGUUCAACCUGAGUUAAUCCAAAGUAUAAAAGAAGCGCAGUCCACCGAUUUUACCUUAAAAACCCUCAAGAAAGAUGCAGAACAAGGAGUUAAUUCAGAAUUCUGAGUCUUUGUCAUUGGGUUGUUCAGAUUCUAUGACAGAGUGUGUGUUCCAGGUGAUAGUAAGUUGAAAAUGGACAUCAAGACAGAGGCCAAUAACUCAAAGUUUGCUAUG